This 253-nucleotide ribosomal RNA is filed under the name uncultured bacterium. RNAcentral's name for it is "partial 16S ribosomal RNA". It matches the Rfam family "Bacterial small subunit ribosomal RNA", at positions 524 to 776 of the family's 1533-position model. The record is from RNAcentral.
UACAGAGGUGGCAAGCGUUGUUCGGAAUUACUGGGCGUAAAGGGCGCGUAGGCGGUUCGUUAAGUCCUGUGUGAAAUCCCCCGGCUCAACUGGGGAACUGCACAGGAAACUAGCGGGCUUGAGUUCGGGAGAGGGAAGCGGAAUUCCGGGUGUAGCGGUGAAAUGCGUAGAUAUCAGGAGGAACACCGGUGGUGUAGACGGCUUUCUGGACCGUAACUGACGCUGAGACACGAAAGCGUGGGUAGCAAACAGG